UAUUUGAAUUAAAUUAUUACAUAGUUUACACUUUUAUGGUGAAUGAAUUAUUUAAAUGAAAAUAUUUUUUUAAAAAAAUAGUUUAAUUAACUUAUUUCAUAUAAUUUUCUCAGAUUUAAUUCAUGUAGUGUUUAAUCGCAUGAAAGCUACUCCUGACAAGGGUGGUAUAGUACAUUGGAAGCAUUUGAUGGUUUAAUGGGAGCAAUGAAUACUAGAACUAGUCAAUCACCGUUACACACAUAAAUAGAAGCUUUUAUAUGGCCAAUUCCCAAUGUAAUGUACGAGGAACUUGAGACAGUUUAAUGUCACAUUUGCUACAGAUUGUUCUCAAUUGGUAAAGAUAAUUUCGGAACUAGAAGAAUGACCAUUUUUGCAAGUUACUUGGAAGACAUAAAGAUCUUGAAAGGGAGUUUCCACAGUUGUCUCAUUCAUAUACCACUGACUCUGAAUUCAAGGGCGGACAGUCUUGCACGCAUCGCCAUGAAACAAUUGUUGUUUGUCGUCCAUAUAGAUGCGGAACCACCAGUUUAGUUUGUAGAGUCUAUAUGAGUCUGUUAAAUUAAUGACAAAACGUGCUUUUAAUAUAGAUUAUAAUUUUAAUAUUGAUAAAAAAUAGCAAGUAAAUUUAUAAUAAAAUUUAAUUAACAGUAAUUUAUAAUUAUAAUAUAUUAUUAAUAUCGAAAUUAAUUGAUGUAAUAUUUAAAAUAUAUAUUUAAAACUUUUAAUAGGAUUUUUUAGAUAUUUUCUCAAUAGAUAUAGUUAUAAAUAAAAAUAAAACUCAGAUUUAUAGUUAAAAUUGAUUUAUUAAUAAUAUAUUGAUUGAUUAUUAAGAGUUUUUUUUAGAAAAUAUUAUAUAUUUUAUUGGUUAAUGUAAAUAACUAAAUAUGUCAUAUUAAGUAAUUAAUUAACUGGUAGAUAAAAAUAAUGACUCCAUUUUAAUAGAAUAGACUUUAUAAUAUUUGACACAAUGAAAAUUAUUUUGUCAAAACCAUCUGUAAUCUUAUUCUUUUAGUUAUGGGAGAUUUGAUAAAAAUGACAGUUACUUAAUUUAAGUGCAAAAGUAUACUCUAAACUCAAUCAAAUGCAAAAUAACCUAAAAGGGUAGUAAAACUAAAACAAUCACCUUACGACCAAACAAAAAAGUUGUAAUCAUUUUUUCGAUUAUAACCUUACGAAGUCUUCUCAGAUAUUGAAGUCUUAUAUGAGAAGUCCUCCCAUGUUAGUGAAGUCUAGAAAUAUUCUCAUAUAUUUAAUCUUAAUAAUAAUUUAUAAAAAAAUAUUUUGAUGGAAAAUCAAUUUAAAUCAUGUAAUUAUAAAUAAUUCUAAAUGAUGUAAAUUUUGAUUUAUUAAAAUUGAACUGUUUUCAACAUAGAUAAGUGAAUUUAGGUGGUAACUCAUGAUUGUCCUUGGUUUAGGGUAAUGAAACACAUUUUGUAGUAUUGUUUGUAACUUUAGGGUUAUAUUUUAGAAUAUUAAAUUUGUUUUUUGAAAUUUAACAUAUAUGGGUUUAGUUUUGUACAUAUUAAACACCUUAUAAGUUGAUCUUAUGUUUAGUGAAUUAUUUGUUGCUAUCUAAUUAGUUAUUUUAUUUUUAAGUUUAGAAAUAUUUUAGUGCAUUUUAUGUUGGAAGACUUCCCAAAAAGUCUUCUGAGAAACCUAAUUAGAAUUUUCGUCUUCUUAUUUCUGUCUUCUGAAUUAGAAUUUUCAUCUUCUGAAUAACAUUCUCUCUUUUCCUCUCAAAGUUGAUGCAGCAAAAUGUAUCUCACUAUAAAACUCUCCAACCUCUUUCUAAUCUCUUUAAACUUGAAGACACCAAAUUUUCUAUCAAUUUUUCAUCUUUUUGUCUCAUGUAUUUCUCACAACUUUACUCUUUUUUUUUGUAAAUUUUUAUUCAUAGUUUUCAUCUUCUACUCUUUUAAAGGUAGAUCUAUAAAAUUUGGAUAUGUAUUUUUAUGUGUGUUUACAUGUUAGAUUCGAAAAAUUUAUAGAUUCAACCUAAUGUGUCAACCUAAUGUGAUUGAUUUAUUUAUUUUUUAAACAUAAAAAAUAUUUUUGAAAUUUUUCUAUGUUUUAAAACUAUUUUAACGUUUUUUUAUAUGCAGAUUUUUCAGAUUUGAUGACAGUAUCGAUCUUCAGACUUCGUUAACAGACUUCUUCAAAAGACUUCUGGAGAGGUCUGUUGGAGAAAUCUGCUAUAUGAAAACUGCUGAAAUUGGUAAAAUUUUAUUUUUCACCCCGAGCUCUCAUUCCUAAACACUUUGAUCUCGUUUUGUAUAUUGUUAUGUAACUAGAUUUAGUUUGAUUCAUAUUCAUUAAUCUUGUAAACUGUUUGAUAUCACCAUGACUAUAAACACUUUCUUCUUCCUAUUAACAAAACAUCCCCUUUAUUUUUCGCUCUUCCGGAACCGGCAUAGAAAUGGGUGUCAAUUGAAUCUAAGUACAUCAUUGUUGUUCUAAGAAUAUUGUUAUCCACAAGUUCUUCCUUCCCUAGUUAUCAAAUACAAACACUACCAAAUUCCUAGUGUGGAUUUUAUGAUCCACAUUUUAGGGCCACCUAUAGGAAAGAUAAACAAAAAACACCAUUGUAAAAACCCAAUUAAUGGUUUGAAAGCACGAAAAUAGACCCAUCCUACGAGACUUCCAAAAGCCAGUACGAUAAGUUUUUAAAACGAAAUGACAUCGACCAAUCGAAUGUCAGAGCUACACGACGAUCCAAAAUAUUGGACCUCAGUCGCCUGAUCAAAUGGAUCGUUUUCAUCCAAGUGACACCAGGAUGUUGUAACGCUAUCAUCCCGGCCGAAACUCGCCAAAAAUUGGUUGAGAGGGAAACAUGACUAUCAACAACAAUCCCUCUCAAACACAAAGAUUGUUUUCUAUGAACAGAGACCCUUAAGCUCGAUAAACCGCAUGAUGAUGCUCUCAUUAUUCAACUCGACAUUGGCAGAUUCCAGUUAUCAAGUUUAUUAUUGACACCAAGAGUUCGACUGAAGUCCUUUUCCACGAGAUGUUCAAGAACAUGGAAGAGGCUAUCCCCUAACCUUUACCACCGCAAAUCGCCGAAUUCUCCACCUUCUGCCGGAAGCUACUUUUAUUUGUUAGAGCACUUUUACUAGUAUGCAAAAAUGAAAUCUAAUUUCACACUCUUAAUUUUUCUUGACUUUUCUCACCAUUCUCAUGUUCCAUUUCUUUUCUCCUUAGAACUGUUUUUCAAAUCAUAUCAUUUUUAUUUGUUGAUCUUAAUGUCAUCUAUGCCGAUUUUACCAUCACUUCCAUCCUAUUUUUCUUUCACAUAUAUCAAUAGAGAAAAAGUUUCAAAUUCGUUGUGCGGUAUAUAUCAGUCAACUAAAUAACAUUGAUAAUGAAUUUCAAUAUAGAGAGUAGAGAUGGUAAUCUCGAACCUGGAUUGCAAGCCUGGCCCAGGAAGGACUGUUGUGGGGCAGGUUUGGACGGGGGUUUCUAGGCCCGAAAAGUAAGCGGGCCUCACGAGUAAGUGUCCCCCGGUAUUGGGCUUUCGGCGGGAUGGGCCUCACGUGGAUUCCAGGGAUAGUAAAGACCCGCUUCAUCUAAAGAUUCUUUCACAAUUUUUACCUGAAAAAAUGAGAGAGAGAGAGAGCAAUGAUGGUGACUCGGCUUCGAUCUUCACCAACCUAUGGAGCUCCGGUGAUGGCGGUUUGAUGUUGGACGAAGUUUCCGGUCUCUCAUGCAUCUUCGAUCUGAUUCUUCUUCCGGUCAUCCCUUGGUAUUUGAUCUGCAGAAGAAGAGCUUCACCGACAACUCAGAUGAACUUUGUCGACUGUUUCUUCACCAACAACCUCCGAUGAAGAUUCCACUUCAGAUGUCGAUCCCCAAGAUAAUUUUUUUCUUCUUAAUUUGGAUCUUCUUUGUUGUAUAUCUAAGUGUGUAUAUCUACUGUAGUCGUUUGGAUCUUCUGAUGCCGAUCUCCAGGAUCAAGCCAUCUUGGACUUGAAGUCUUGUAUAUAGAUCUUAUAUGUUUAUACCAGAUGAGUGUAGUUUGUAUGACAAUGAGUAUCUAAAAAGAGCUUGGCUUUCUUUUGAUUAUGAUUGCUUUGUAUUGCUAUAGAAAUCUUGAUGCUUGGUUGACUUUUAUGUUCUGCAGAUUAAUCUUAGUUCUCGGAUUGCAAUACGUAUACUUGAAUUUUUCUAGUCACUUGCAUUACUCGUUUUGACUAUUGUUUGUGGUGAUUGUUGUGUUUGAGGUAUACUUUAUGUUUUGAAGAUUUAUCUUUUUGAUAGUCGCUUGCAUUACUUUGAUUACUUUUACAGGAAAUCAUUGCUCAACCCGAUAGAGAAGAUCAUGGAACUCAAAAACCUUAAAAGAGAAUGAAGUUAUAUCGUGUCUCGUGAGCCGGUCCACAAAAGCCCAUGUUCACGUGGGGUGGAUUGAUAAUGCCCUAAGGGGAAUGCGGUACCAAACGGGACGACACAGGCUAACCUGCUGGCCAUCUCUAAUAGAGGGGAUGGUGAAUUUGGUAGACAUGUCAAUUAGGACCAAAAUCCGCAGUUCGAACCCGCCCAGCCCUAAGAAUUACCGGGCUUGUGCUUAGUUUUAUAAGCUCCAAAAAAUUGGGUCUUAAAGGCUAAACCCAUUUGGUUUUUAGGUAUUUUUGGCCUAAGUCCCUUUGGGCUAGGGUCUGUCCGAAAACCCGGAAUUUUAUACUUUAGCUUAAAUAUUAUCGUUUCUACAAUCAAAACCAUUAUUAGUAUUGACAUAUUAUUUUAAUAUUUUUAUCCAAACUCUAAUAAAGCAACUAUAAAAGUUAUUAAGGCACUU
Long non-coding RNA from Brassica napus (rape), 4792 nucleotides. RefSeq lists it as uncharacterized. The record is from RefSeq and is a predicted model, not a curated record. Lineage: Eukaryota; Viridiplantae; Streptophyta; Magnoliopsida; Brassicales; Brassicaceae. The transcript has 2 exons.